RNAcentral lists this unclassified non-coding RNA (240 nucleotides) under soil metagenome. RNAcentral's name for it is "partial contains 5.8S ribosomal RNA, internal transcribed spacer 2, and large subunit ribosomal RNA". The record is from RNAcentral.
AACGCACGAGACCUGCGGACCUGCGGAAGGAUCAUUAACGAGUUAGGGUCUACUCGGCCCGACCUCCCAACCCUUUGUUUAACAAACCUGUGUUGCUUCGGCGUGCCCGUCUUCGGACCGCCGGAGGACCGUUAUACGUCCUCUGGCCCGCGCCCGCCGAACGCCCAACCACAAAACUCUUGCUAUGAAUCGUGUCAUUGUCUGAGUAAAACAUUUAAUUAAAGCAAAACUUUCAACAAC